AUGCUCCAGAGAAGAACCUUUCCCCAUUGUCACUUCCUUUGUCUGAUGGUCUGUAACAUCUGACCUCUGCUUGGCAGGUCGUGGCCUUCACCUCCUUUCUUUCCAACAGGAAUAAUGACAGCAGGGUUAAGUUUAUAUGAUACCUCUGAAACCCGAGCUUGCCAGGAUGGAUUCUCCUCUGCAACCAGCCUCCCUGCAGCAGAUGCCAGGAUAAAAUGCCUGUCUUUCCUGAAGGGCUCCUCUCUGCUGCCAGCGGGACCAGCGGCAUCUCAGCUGAGAAUGAAAGCCACUGUUUUAUGGCUGCUCUAGCCUGAUAUCUCGGAGUAUUGGCCAACACAGACACACAGAACUGCUGGAAUUGCAUACGAGUAACACAAGGAAUGCAAAGAUUUUCUUGGCAUCACUGCUAGGGAAUGCCCACUUAAGAAUACUUAUGUACUUUGUACACAAGAUCCCUUUUUCUUUGACAGAAUGGAUAAUGAGACAUUUUCUCUGCACACCCAAGAAGGCACAUGGUGUGAUUCCUGCACAGGGCCAGGAGUUGGACUCGAUUAUCCUGAUGGGUCCCUUACAACUCAGUACAUUCUAUGAUUUUAUUAUUCUAAGAACCUAGAAAACCUGGGAAGAUAUCCCAGGGCAUCUCUCUUGGGAUUUAGCAUUUACUGUAGCAUUCAGAAGUCUAAACGCACAGCCAAUAAAAGAAUGU
Molecule: long non-coding RNA, 706 nt
Filed under: Manacus vitellinus (golden-collared manakin)
Lineage: Eukaryota; Metazoa; Chordata; Aves; Passeriformes; Pipridae
Description: lncRNA (ENSMVIG00005000177.1)
Source: RNAcentral